This 427-nucleotide ribosomal RNA is filed under the name uncultured Thalassotalea sp. RNAcentral's name for it is "bacterial SSU rRNA". It matches the Rfam family "Bacterial small subunit ribosomal RNA", at positions 353 to 772 of the family's 1533-position model. The record is from RNAcentral. Lineage: Bacteria; Pseudomonadati; Pseudomonadota; Gammaproteobacteria; Alteromonadales; Colwelliaceae.
AGUGGGGAAUAUUGCACAAUGGGGGAAACCCUGAUGCAGCCAUGCCGCGUGUGUGAAGAAGGCCUUCGGGUUGUAAAGCACUUUCAGUAGGGAGGAAAGGUUAGUAGCUAAUAUCUGCUAGCUGUGACGUUACCUACAGAAGAAGCACCGGCUAACUCCGUGCCAGCAGCCGCGGUAAUACGGAGGGUGCGAGCGUUAAUCGGAAUUACUGGGCGUAAAGCGUGCGUAGGCGGAUUGUUAAGUCAGAUGUGAAAUCCCGGGGCUCAACCUCGGAACUGCAUUUGAAACUGGCAGUCUAGAGUAUUGUAGAGGGUGGUGGAAUUUCCAGUGUAGCGGUGAAAUGCGUAGAGAUUGGAAGGAACAUCAGUGGCGAAGGCGGCCACCUGGACAAAUACUGACGCUGAGGCACGAAAGCGUGGGGAGCGAA